RNAcentral lists this ribosomal RNA (646 nucleotides) under Thelypteris palustris. RNAcentral describes it as "bacterial LSU rRNA". It matches the Rfam family "Bacterial large subunit ribosomal RNA", at positions 1038 to 1676 of the family's 2925-position model. The record is from RNAcentral. Lineage: Eukaryota; Viridiplantae; Streptophyta; Polypodiopsida; Polypodiales; Thelypteridaceae.
GCUAAGGCCCCUAAAUGACUGCUCAGUGGUAAAGGAGGUAGGAGUGCAAAGACAACCAGGAGGUUUGCCUAGAAGCAGCCACCCUUGAAAGAGUGCGUAAUAGCUCACUGAUCAAGCGCUCUUGCGCCGAAGAUGAACGGGACUAAGCGGUCUGCCGAAGCUGUGGGAUGUCAAAAAACAUCGGUAGGGGAGCGUUCCGUCCCAGGUAGAAGCACCAGUGCGAGCAGGUGUGGACAAAGCGGAAGCGAGAAUGUCGGCUUGAGUAACGCAAACAUUGGUGGGAAUCCAAUGCCCCGAAAACCUAAGGGUUCCUCCGCAAGGCUCGUCCACGGAGGGUGAGUCAGGGCCUAAGAUCAGGCCGAGAGGCGUAGUCGAUGGGCAACGGGUUAAUAUUCCUGUACUGCCCCUUGUUGGUCCCGAGGGACGGAGGAGGCUAGGUUAGCCGAGAGAUGGUUAUCGGUUUAAGGACGCAAAGCUAAUGAACCCAUUAAGGGUAGUGCGGGGUAGGGAAAAUACCUCGAGCCAACGUCCGAGUACUAGGCGCCACGGCGCCGAAGUGACCCACGCCACACUCCCAAGAAAAGCUCGAACGACUUUUAACAAGCGGGUACCUGUACCCGAAACCGACACAGGUGGGUAGGUAGAG